Molecule: ribosomal RNA, 392 nt
Filed under: Gammarus fossarum
Lineage: Eukaryota; Metazoa; Arthropoda; Malacostraca; Amphipoda; Gammaridae
Description: partial 16S ribosomal RNA
Rfam family: Bacterial large subunit ribosomal RNA
Source: RNAcentral
WAUAUUUAACGGCUGCGGUAUUCUGACUGUGCUAAGGUAGCGUAAUCAAUUGUUUUUUAAUUGAAAACUUGAAUGAAAGGUUAAACAAAUUACCUUAGUUUGUGCAGCUUGGUUAGUAAAUUAAAGUCAAGGUAAGAAUUCUUUGAUUUUCUAGGGGACGAUAAGACCCUAGAAGCUUUAAAAAAGAAAAAUUUUUAGUAGUUGUAUAGAUUUUUUUACUGGGGCGGUAUUAGUGUUUUAACUACUAAAAAUAGAGGUCGAUCCUUUAGAUAAAGAUAAUUCGGUGAAGUUACUUUAGGGAUAACAGUGCGGUAUUCUUGGAAAGGUCUUAUUAAUAAGAAUGUUCGCAACCUCGAUGUUGAAUUAAGAUGUCUACGUGGAGCAGUAAAUAC